RNAcentral lists this transfer RNA (77 nucleotides) under Acidobacteriota bacterium. RNAcentral's name for it is "Acidobacteria bacterium (freshwater sediment metagenome) tRNA-Pro". It matches the Rfam family "tRNA". Rfam says of the family: Transfer RNA (tRNA) molecules are approximately 80 nucleotides in length. Their secondary structure includes four short double-helical elements and three loops (D, anti-codon, and T loops). The record is from RNAcentral. Lineage: Bacteria; Pseudomonadati; Acidobacteriota.
CGGGACGUGGCGCAGCCUGGUAGCGCACACGCUUGGGGUGCGUGGGGUCGGAAGUUCAAAUCUUCUCGUCCCGACCA